UACGUAGGGUGCAAGCGUUGUCCGGAAUUAUUGGGCGUAAAGAGCUCGUAGGCGGUCUGUCGCGUCGGCUGUGAAAACCCGAGGCUCAACCUCGGGCCUGCAGUCGAUACGGGCAAACUAGAGUACUGCAGGGGAGACUGGAAUUCCUGGUGUAGCGGUGAAAUGCGCAGAUAUCAGGAGGAGCACCGGUGGCGAAGGCGGGUCUCUGGGCAGUAACUGACGCUGAGGAACGAAAGCGUGGGUAGCAAACAGG
This 253-nucleotide ribosomal RNA is filed under the name uncultured bacterium. RNAcentral's name for it is "partial 16S ribosomal RNA". It matches the Rfam family "Bacterial small subunit ribosomal RNA", at positions 524 to 776 of the family's 1533-position model. The record is from RNAcentral.